This 305-nucleotide ribosomal RNA is filed under the name uncultured bacterium. RNAcentral's name for it is "bacterial SSU rRNA". It matches the Rfam family "Bacterial small subunit ribosomal RNA", at positions 337 to 639 of the family's 1533-position model. The record is from RNAcentral.
UCCUACGGGAGGCAGCAGUGAGGAAUAUUGGUCAAUGGGCGGAAGCCUGAACCAGCCAAGUCGCGUGAGGGAAGAAGGCCCUGCGGGUCGCAGACCUCUUUGGACGGGGAGCAAGGCCGCCGACGUGUCGGCGGAAGGAGAGUACCCGUAGAAAAAGCAUCGGCUAACUCCGUGCCAGCAGCCGCGGUAAUACGGAGGAUGCGAGCGUUAUCCGGAUUUAUUGGGUUUAAAGGGUGCGUAGGCGGAAGGUUAAGUCAGCGGUCAAAUGUCGGUGCUCAACACCGGCCUGCCGUUGAAACUGGUCU